Molecule: ribosomal RNA, 484 nt
Filed under: uncultured bacterium
Lineage: Bacteria
Description: partial 16S ribosomal RNA
Rfam family: Bacterial small subunit ribosomal RNA
Source: RNAcentral
AUUGAACGCUGGCGGCAUGCUUUACACAUGCAAGUCGAACGGCAGCGCGGGCUUCGGCCUGGCGGCGAGUGGCGAACGGGUGAGUAAUGCAUCGGAACGUGCCCAGGAGUGGGGGAUAGCCCGGCGAAAGCCGGAUUAAUACCGCAUACGACCUGAGGGUGAAAGCGGGGGACCGAAAGGCCUCGCGCUAUUGGAGCGGCCGAUGUCGGAUUAGCUAGUUGGUGGGGUAAAGGCUUACCAAGGCGACGAUCCGUAGCUGGUCUGAGAGGACGACCAGCCACACUGGGACUGAGACACGGCCCCGACUCCUACGGGAGGCAGCAGUGGGGAAUUUUGGACAAUGGGGGCAACCCUGAUCCAGCCAUGCCGCGUGCGGGAAGAAGGCCUUCGGGUUGUAAACCGCUUUUGUUCGGGAAGAAAUCCUCUGGGCUAAUACCCCGGGGGGAUGACGGUACCGGAAGAAUAAGCACCGGCUAACUACGUG